Long non-coding RNA from Notolabrus celidotus (New Zealand spotty), 1013 nucleotides. RefSeq lists it as uncharacterized. Lineage: Eukaryota; Metazoa; Chordata; Actinopteri; Labriformes; Labridae. The record is from RefSeq and is a predicted model, not a curated record. The transcript has 4 exons.
UACAUCUCUUCACCCUGUCACUCCGCAGCCAUCUAUCAUGAUUCGAUUGCUGGUGGACAUGUUGAUUGCAGAGUGGAGACAAAAGCUUGGAAAGCAAAAAAGCCGGGAGAGAAAAAAAAGGGGGGUGACAGAUCUAAUAGAGGGUCCCGAACGGCUUCACUGUCUCUCCGAAGCAAUCGCUCUGUCCGGAUGAAAAGGACAGCGCGGGGUUAACCUCACAAGAUGCUAAUGGCGUGCUGCCUUCUGCGGAGAUCAGUCAUCAAUCUGUAAACGAGCCGCCGUUUCCCGUCAUUAUUCCUGAAAGGCAGCAGUGAUGAACAGGAGGAGGGGGAGGGUGAUUAGGCCUCCCAACCUUUACCCCACAUGUCUUGUCAUCUUGUGUUAACAUCAUGGCUCAUUUCAAGCCUCUUGUUUUCUUCCCAGGGCUCGGCGGAUGCUUGUGUACAGCUCUGUUGGGGUCCCCAGACAUUGCAUCCUGCUUGCAUGAGGGUCAUAAGUGGCCCCACAGGAUAACCUGAACAACGGUGGGAAAGACCGGGAGCGUGGGUCUCCUUUAGCGGCACAGUCUUGACCACCUCUGUGCCAGAAGCAUACAUGCUGCCAAUGAGCACUUUGAACUCCCUUUAUCAACCUGAGAGUGCAUGAUAUCCAAACAUGAGGCCCCUCUUUGACUUCCUGUCUGUGUGGGAACCAUAUCUGUCCCCUGUCACACAUGGAGUGAGAGAAGGCCUCGCUCCUGCAUUUGCCUUAAAAGACAAAGUGAUUGUCAAUAAACAAGGAACAAUUGAAGUCCCCCAUUCAUUCAGCAGGCACUUCUGUCCGCUGCUCCCCUGGGAUGCUCAUGAGUUUUGCAAGCUUCAUUUUCCUCCCAUUUGACAUCAAACUGAGGACGUAAUGACUGAAUAUGCAAGCUGUAUUUAGAUUGCCUAAUUUAGAUGUAUCUUAGUGCAACCUCAGCGAGAUGAGAGCCUCUGUAAUGAGUUCAUUUCCUCCAUAAAACAUAUUUAUUCCUU